RNAcentral lists this ribosomal RNA (253 nucleotides) under uncultured prokaryote. RNAcentral describes it as "partial 16S ribosomal RNA". It matches the Rfam family "Bacterial small subunit ribosomal RNA", at positions 524 to 776 of the family's 1533-position model. The record is from RNAcentral.
GACGAACCGUGCGAACGUUGUUCGGAAUCACUGGGCUUAAAGGGCGCGUAGGCGGCCCGCCGCGUCCGGGGUGAAAGCCCACGGCUCAACCGUGGAACGGCCCCGGGUACGGGCGGGCUGGAGGGGAGUAGGGGCGUGCGGAACUGUGCGUGGAGCGGUGAAAUGCGUUGAUAUGCACAGGAACUCCGGUGGCGAAGGCGGCACGCUGGGCUCUCUCUGACGCUGAGGCGCGAAAGCCAGGGGAGCGAACGGG